UUUUUAUGGAAGGAAUGAUCUUUGUUUACUUCAGUGAAUCACUGUGCCUUCCAUGUUGUUUGUGACCUACCAGUUUGCCUGGGAUCUUCUGACAGCCAACCUCCUGUCAGAGGGGGAGAAAAAGAAGGAAGAUGUGUGAGCUCCCCCUGGUGACUUCCUGAAUUCAGGCUGACUGAACCAAGGCUGCAAGGAAACAGGCCUGAGGCAGAAGGAAACAGACUCCACCUGGGUCCUGACUGACACUUGGAUCGCGAUGCUAACGUUCUGGGCCUCUCUAUUUAAUGUGGGUCCUUAGGAGGGGCGGGGUCUUCUCAGUGGACCUUUUAAACUCCAGUUUGGAAUGGGGGAUUUGAUAGCUGUCUGCCUGGGGGAAGGCCUUCUCUUGAAUCAAAGGGCUUACUUCCUUUUGGGCUAGAGUGUUUUCUCUUUGUCAGUGUGCAGUUAGUCACAACCAGUAACUUUGACACACUUCCUGUUGUGCUGUAGACACAGGGGUUGUCAUGGGAAUCCGGCACUAGCCACAGUGACCAGUGUUCUACACGACAAAACCUGAGCCAACAGUGUCCUACGCUUAGGAACGGGGGUGGGGUGGGGUCAGAAACACUGUAAACUCUGGUCAUUUACAAAAGGCUGCAGGGAAUUUUCUCUCAGUCUCCUGGGUGUGUGUGAUUUACAGAAGCCCUUAGCAAGACGUUCACAGGUAUUUAGUGUGUCCCAUUCUUUAACCACAGGGCUGGAAAGAACAGACAGAGUGUACCACCCGUAAUUCCUCCUACAUCCAGGUUAGUCCGUUCUAGACUAACUUCCCUAAAACGGGUACCAGCGUGGGUCUAGGUAAUGGCGGUUUCCAUUUCCUGUGUAAACAUGGAGGUUUGUUUCCUGUUGUUCGGCGUGUGUGACUUUGGUGGAGUCAGAGGGUCACAGAGCCUACUUGAGCCCUUUGCAAAACCACACCAAGCUUUAGUCAGUCCGGUCCACAAUCUCACACCCAUUCUCUGGUUUUUGUUCUCGAAACAGACGACAGGUCAUUCAUUCUCUCUCUCUCUCUCUCUCUCUCUCUCUCUCUCUCUCGGGCCGCAGUCACCAUGCAGACUGCUCUCUUUCCUGUGUACCUUGUUUUUUUUUUUUUUUUCGCUCUCUCUGUGCAUCCCACGAGGCGCUGCACUAACUGAUGGAAUGCACGCAGGUGCCAGAGAGGUAUUGGAAGCGCCAUGCAGAAAGAUUACUGCAGUUAGGCUCCCUCGGAAGACAGGAUGCAAUGGAUAGAGUUCGGAGCUGAAGAGAGACUUUGAGAUGUUAAGUGGAAAAUCCCUUAUCUGCAUUUGACAGAGGCCUACAAAAAACUUUAAAUACCAGUGUAAAGCGUAUUUAAAGCAAUUUACAAGAUACUAUGGAGAUGGUCAGCAAUAAAGAAUGAUAAGAGAUCUUCUUAAAAUCUUUU
Molecule: long non-coding RNA, 1441 nt
Organism: Mus spicilegus (steppe mouse)
Lineage: Eukaryota; Metazoa; Chordata; Mammalia; Rodentia; Muridae
Source: Ensembl